CUGGAAACGGAGAGUAAUACCGUAUACGCCCUUUGGGGGAAAGAUUUAUCGGAGAAGGAUCGGCCCGCGUUAGAUUAGGUAGUUGGUGGGGUAACGGCCUACCAAGCCUACGAUCUAUAGCUGGUUUUAGAGGAUGAUCAGCAACACUGGGACUGAGACACGGCCCAGACUCCUACGGGAGGCAGCAGUGGGGAAUCUUAGACAAUGGGGGCAACCCUGAUCUAGCCAUGCCGCGUGAGUGAUGAAGGCCUUAGGGUCGUAAAGCUCUUUCGCCUGUGAUGAUAAUGACAGUAGCAGGUAAAGAAACCCCGGCUAACUCCGUGCCAGCAGCCGCGGUAAUACGGAGGGGGUUAGCGUUGUUCGGAAUUACUGGGCGUAAAGCGCGCGUAGGCGGAUUAGAAAGUUGGGGGUGAAAUCCCGGGGCUCAACCCCGGAACUGCCUCCAAAACUGCUAGUCUAGAGUUCGAGAGAGGUGAGUGGAAUUCCGAGUGUAGAGGUGAAAUUCGUAGAUAUUCGGAGGAACACCAGUGGCGAAGGCGGC
RNAcentral lists this ribosomal RNA (541 nucleotides) under proteobacterium MS-B-38. RNAcentral's name for it is "bacterial SSU rRNA". It matches the Rfam family "Bacterial small subunit ribosomal RNA", at positions 150 to 725 of the family's 1533-position model. The record is from RNAcentral. Lineage: Bacteria; Pseudomonadati; Pseudomonadota.